Molecule: transfer RNA, 76 nt
Filed under: Pseudobdellovibrionaceae bacterium
Lineage: Bacteria; Pseudomonadati; Bdellovibrionota; Bdellovibrionia; Bdellovibrionales; Pseudobdellovibrionaceae
Description: Bdellovibrionaceae bacterium tRNA-Ala
Rfam family: tRNA
About the family: Transfer RNA (tRNA) molecules are approximately 80 nucleotides in length. Their secondary structure includes four short double-helical elements and three loops (D, anti-codon, and T loops). Further hydrogen bonds mediate the characteristic L-shaped molecular structure. tRNAs have two regions of fundamental functional importance: the anti-codon, which is responsible for specific mRNA codon recognition, and the 3' end, to which the tRNAs corresponding amino acid is attached (by aminoacyl-tRNA synthetases). tRNAs cope with the degeneracy of the genetic code in two manners: having more than one tRNA (with a specific anti-codon) for a particular amino acid; and 'wobble' base-pairing, i.e. permitting non-standard base-pairing at the 3rd anti-codon position.
Source: RNAcentral
GGGGCUGUAGCUCAGCUGGGAGAGCGCAACGCUGGCAGCGUUGAGGUCGCAGGUUCGAUCCCUGUCAGCUCCACCA